AUUAAUGUAGCAAACCCCGGUUUUGCAAAAGGCCUAAGCCCUUCCCAUAGAGGUUCAAAUCCCCUCAUUAACA
RNAcentral lists this transfer RNA (73 nucleotides) under Ischnocnema parva. RNAcentral describes it as "tRNA-Leu". It matches the Rfam family "tRNA". From Rfam's summary of the family: Transfer RNA (tRNA) molecules are approximately 80 nucleotides in length. Their secondary structure includes four short double-helical elements and three loops (D, anti-codon, and T loops). Lineage: Eukaryota; Metazoa; Chordata; Amphibia; Anura; Brachycephalidae. The record is from RNAcentral.